RNAcentral lists this ribosomal RNA (593 nucleotides) under Penicillium verrucosum. Its description in RNAcentral is "eukaryotic LSU rRNA". The stretch from base 212 to 364 matches the Rfam family "5.8S ribosomal RNA". Lineage: Eukaryota; Fungi; Ascomycota; Eurotiomycetes; Eurotiales; Aspergillaceae. The record is from RNAcentral.
CCAUUAGUUCGUAGGUGACCUGCGGAAGGUCAUUACCGAGUGAGGGCCCUCUGGGUCCAACCUCCCACCCGUGUUUAUUUUACCUUGUUGCUUCGGCGGGCCCGCCUUUACUGGCCGCCGGGGGGCUCACGCCCCCGGGCCCGCGCCCGCCGAAGACACCCUCGAACUCUGUCUGAAGAUUGAAGUCUGAGUGAAAAUAUAAAUUAUUUAAAACUUUCAACAACGGAUCUCUUGGUUCCGGCAUCGAUGAAGAACGCAGCGAAAUGCGAUACGUAAUGUGAAUUGCAAAUUCAGUGAAUCAUCGAGUCUUUGAACGCACAUUGCGCCCCCUGGUAUUCCGGGGGGCAUGCCUGUCCGAGCGUCAUUGCUGCCCUCAAGCCCGGCUUGUGUGUUGGGCCCCGUCCUCCGAUUCCGGGGGACGGGCCCGAAAGGCAGCGGCGGCACCGCGUCCGGUCCUCGAGCGUAUGGGGCUUUGUCACCCGCUCUGUAGGCCCGGCCGGCGCUUGCCGAUCAACCCAAAUUUUUAUCCAGGUUGACCUCGGAUCAGGUAGGGAUACCCGCUGAACUUAAGCAUAUCAAAAGGCGGAAGGAAA